RNAcentral lists this ribosomal RNA (429 nucleotides) under Acidobacteriota bacterium. RNAcentral describes it as "Acidobacteria bacterium partial 16S ribosomal RNA". It matches the Rfam family "Bacterial small subunit ribosomal RNA", at positions 355 to 776 of the family's 1533-position model. Lineage: Bacteria; Pseudomonadati; Acidobacteriota. The record is from RNAcentral.
UGGGGAAUUUUGGACAAUGGGGGAAACCCUGAUCCAGCCAUCCCGCGUGUGCGAUGAAGGCCUUCGGGUUGUAAAGCACUUUUGGCAGGAAAGAAACGUCAUGGGUUAAUACCCCGUGUAACUGACGGUACCUGCAGAAUAAGCACCGGCUAACUACGUGCCAGCAGCCGCGGUAAUACGUAGGGUGCAAGCGUUAAUCGGAAUUACUGGGCGUAAAGCGUGCGCAGGCGGUUCGGAAAGAAAGAUGUGAAAUCCCAGAGCUCAACUUUGGAACUGCAUUUUUAACUACCGGGCUAGAGUGUGUCAGAGGGAGGUGGAAUUCCGCGUGUAGCAGUGAAAUGCGUAGAUAUGCGGAGGAACACCGAUGGCGAAGGCAGCCGCCUGGGAUAACACUGACGCUCAUGCACGAAAGCGUGGGGAGCAAACAGG